RNAcentral lists this unclassified non-coding RNA (143 nucleotides) under uncultured Xylariales. RNAcentral's name for it is "sequence contains ITS1". Lineage: Eukaryota; Fungi; Ascomycota; Sordariomycetes; Xylariales. The record is from RNAcentral.
UAGAGUUUUUACAACUCCCAACCCAUGUGAACUUACCAUUGUUGCCUCGGCGGGUCCUACCCGGUACCUACCCUGUAGCCCGCCGAUGGAUUUUCAAACUAUUGUUAUUUUAUGUUAUCUGAACGUCUUAUUUUAAUAAGUUA